Molecule: RNA transcript, 6298 nt
Organism: Mandrillus leucophaeus (drill)
Lineage: Eukaryota; Metazoa; Chordata; Mammalia; Primates; Cercopithecidae
Gene: MYO3B
Gene name: myosin IIIB
Exons: 36
Source: RefSeq, a predicted model, not a curated record
CUAGGUCAAAAGAAAGUCCUUUGGUAAUGAUGUGUCAUACAUUCUAGUCAUCAAAGACACAAUUUUCUUGGCUUGAAGUGAUCUGCUGGUUUUUGGAGGAAUGAGAAUCCAAUCUCUCAUAAGCCGGAUUCAGAAAAUAGGUCAUCGAUGAAACAUCUGUAUGGAUUAUUUCACUAUAAUCCUAUGAUGCUUGGACUUGAAUCACUUCCAGAUCCCACGGACACCUGGGAAAUUAUAGAGACCAUUGGUAAAGGCACCUAUGGCAAGGUCUACAAGGUAACUAACAAGAGAGAUGGGAGCCUGGCUGCGGUGAAAAUUCUGGAUCCAAUCAGUGAUAUGGAUGAAGAAAUUGAGGCAGAAUACAACAUUUUGCAGUUCCUUCCUAAUCAUCCCAAUGUUGUAAAGUUUUAUGGGAUGUUUUACAAAGCGGAUCACUGUGUAGGGGGACAGCUGUGGCUGGUCCUGGAGCUGUGUAAUGGGGGCUCAGUCACCGAGCUUGUCAAAGGUCUACUCAGAUGUGGCCAGCAGUUGGAUGAAGCAAUGAUCUCAUACAUCUUGUAUGGGGCCCUCUUGGGCCUUCAGCAUUUGCACAGCAACCGAAUCAUCCACCGUGAUGUGAAGGGGAAUAACAUUCUUCUGACAACAGAAGGAGGAGUUAAGCUCGUUGACUUUGGUGUUUCAGCUCAACUCACUAGUACGCGUCUGCGGAGAAACACAUCUGUUGGCACCCCGUUCUGGAUGGCCCCUGAGGUCAUUGCCUGUGAGCAGCAGUAUGACUCUUCCUAUGACGCUCGCUGUGACGUCUGGUCCUUGGGUAUCACAGCUAUUGAACUGGGGGAUGGAGACCCUCCCCUCUUUGACAUGCAUCCUGUGAAAACACUCUUUAAGAUUCCAAGAAAUCCUCCACCGACUUUACUUCAUCCAGAAAAAUGGUGUGAAGAAUUCAACCACUUUAUUUCACAGUGUCUUAUUAAGGAUUUUGAAAGGCGACCUUCCGUCACACAUCUCCUUGACCACCCAUUUAUUAAAGGAGUACAUGGAAAGGUUUUGUUUCUGCAAAACCAACUGGCCAAGGUUCUCCAAGACCAGAAGCAUCUAAAUCCUGUUACCAAAACCAGGCAUGAGAGGAUGCAUACCAGAAGACCUUAUCAUGUGGAAGAUGCUGAAAAAUACUGCCUUGAGGAUGAUUUGGUCAAUCUAGAGGUUCUGGAUGAGGAUACAAUUAUCCAUCAGUUGCAGAAACGUUAUGCAGACUUGCUAAUUUACACAUAUGUUGGAGACAUCUUAAUUGCCUUAAACCCCUUCCAGAAUCUAAGCAUAUACUCUCCACAGUUUUCCAGACUUUAUCAUGGGGUGAAACGUGCCUCUAAUCCCCCCCACAUAUUUGCAUCAGCAGAUGCUGCUUACCAGUGCAUGGUUACUCUCAGCAAAGACCAGUGCAUUGUCAUCAGUGGAGAGAGUGGCUCUGGGAAGACAGAGAGUGCUCACCUGAUUGUUCAGCAUUUGACUUUCUUGGGAAAGGCCAAUAAUCAGACCCUGAGAGAGAAAAUUCUACAAGUCAACUCCCUAGUGGAAGCCUUUGGGAACGCAUGCACUGCCAUCAAUGACAACUCCAGCCGUUUUGGAAAAUAUCUGGAAAUGAUGUUCACACCAACUGGAGUUGUGAUGGGGGCAAGAAUCUCUGAAUAUCUCCUUGAAAAAUCCAGAGUGAUAAAACAGGCAGCGGGAGAGAAAAAUUUUCACAUAUUUUACUAUAUUUAUGCUGGUCUUCAUCACCAAAAGAAGCUUUCUGACUUCAGACUUCCUGAGGAAAAACCUCCUAGGUACAUAGCUGAUGAAACUGGAAGGGUGAUGCAUGACAUAACUUCCAAGGAGUCUUACAGAAGACAAUUCGAAGCAAUUCAGCAUUGCUUCAGGAUUAUAGGGUUCACGGACAAAGAGGUGCACUCAGUGUACAGAAUUUUGGCUGGGAUUUUGAAUAUUGGGAACAUUGAGUUUGCAGCUAUUUCCUCUCAACAUCAGACUGAUAAAAGUGAGGUGCCUGAUGCUGAAGCUUUGCAAAAUGCUGCCUCUGUUCUGUGCAUCAGCCCCGAAGAGCUCCAGGAGGCCCUCACCUCCCACUGUGUAGUCACCCGGGGCGAGACCAUCAUCCGUGCCAAUACCGUAGACAGGGCUGCGGACGUUCGAGACGCCAUGUCCAAAGCCCUGUAUGGGAGGCUCUUCAGCUGGAUUGUGAAUCGCAUUAAUACACUCCUGCAGCCAGACAAAAACAUAUGUAGUGCAGAAGAUGGGAUGAAUGUGGGGAUCUUGGAUAUCUUUGGAUUCGAGAAUUUUCAGAGAAAUUCAUUUGAGCAGCUCUGCAUAAACAUCGCCAAUGAGCAAAUCCAGUACUAUUUCAAUCAGCACGUUUUUGCUCUUGAGCAGAUGGAAUAUCAGAAUGAAGGCAUUGAUGCUAUACCUGUGGAAUAUGAGGACAACCGCCCGCUCUUGGACAUGUUUCUCCAGAAACCCCUGGGACUACUUGCACUUUUGGAUGAGGAAAGUCGGUUUCCCCAAGCAACUGACCAGACCCUGGUUGAUAAAUUUGAAGAUAAUCUACGGUGCAAAUACUUCUGGAGGCCCAAAGGAGUGGAGCUGUGCUUUGGCAUUCAGCAUUAUGCUGGAAAGGUAUUAUAUGAUGCUUCUGGGGUUCUUGAGAAGAAUAGAGACACUCUCCCUGCUGAUGUGGUUGUGGUCCUGAGGACGUCAGAAAACAAGCUUCUUCAGCAGCUCUUCUCAAUCCCUCUGACCAAAACAGGUAAUUUGGCCCAGACAAGAGCUAGGAUAACAGUGGCCUCAAGAUCUUUGCCUCCACAUUUCAGUGCUGGGAAAGCCAAGGUGGACACUCUGGAGGUGAUACGGCAUCCGGAAGAAACCACCAACAUGAAGAGGCAAACCGUGGCUUCUUACUUCCGGUAUUCUCUGAUGGACCUGCUCUCCAAAAUGGUGGUUGGACAGCCCCACUUUGUGCGCUGCAUUAAACCCAAUGAUGACCGAGAGGCCCUGCAGUUCUCUCGAGAGAGGGUGCUGGCCCAGCUCCGCUCCACAGGGAUUCUGGAGACAGUCAGCAUCCGCCGCCAGGGCUAUUCCCACCGCAUCCUCUUUGAAGAAUUUGUGAAAAGGUAUUAUUACUUGGCAUUCAGAGCACAUCAAACACCUCUUGCUAGCAAAGAGAGCUGUGUGGCUAUCUUGGAAAAGUCCAGAUUAGAUCACUGGGUGCUGGGAAAAACAAAGGUUUUUCUCAAAUAUUACCAUGUUGAGCAAUUAAAUUUGCUACUUCGAGAAGUCAUAGGCAGAGUGGUUGUGCUACAGGCAUAUACCAAGGGGUGGCUUGGAGCCAGGAGAUACAAAAGAGUCAGAGAGAAGAGAGAGAAGGGAGCCAUUGCCAUCCAGUCAGCCUGGAGAGGAUAUGAUGCUCGGAGGAAAUUUAAGAAAAUAAGCAACAGAAGGAGUGAGUCUGCUGCUCAUAAUCAAGCAGGGGACGCUUCAAACCAAAGCAGUGGGACACAUUCCCCCGUCGCAGCGGGUACCAGGGGAAGUGCCAAGGUUCAAGACUGCAGCGAGCCUGGUGACCAUAAAGUUUUCAGGGGCUCUGUAGAUCAUAGAAGCCAUUCACAAGCAGAAUCCAACAAUGGUCACGCACAGACUUCAAGCAACUCUCGUGCUGUCACAGAGAAAAAUGGACAGAGUCUCGCUCUGUCGCCCAGGCUGGAGUGCAGUGGCCGGAUCUCGGCUCACUGCAAGCUCCGCCUCCUGGGUUUACACCAUUCUCCUGCCUUAGCCUCCCAAGUAGCUGGGACUACAGGCAUUCACAAGCCCGGAGUUCUCCAAAAGGGUGCGAUAUCUUCACAGGACAGGCAAACAAGCACUCGAUUUCUGGGACUGAUUUGCUGUCUUCUCGGAUAUGCCAUCCUGCUCCAGAUCACCAAGGACUGAGUCUCUGGGGAGCCCCUCAAAAACCUGGUUCAGAAAAUGGUCUCGCACAGAAGCAACGAACACCUCGCCGACGAUGUCAGCAGCCCAAAAUGCUGAGUAGCCCUGAGGACACUAUGUACUAUAACCAGUUAAAUGGAACUCUAGAAUAUCAAGGGAGCAAGAGGAAGCCAAGAAAACUUGGCCAAAUCAAAGUACUUGAUGGGGAAGAUGAAUAUUACAAAUCUCUGUCACCAGUGGACUGCAUCCCUGAGGAGAACAACUCAGCCCACCCUUCCUUUUUUUCUUCAUCCUCAAAAGGAGACUCUUUCACUCAACAUUGAAUUGUACUUCCUAACCCCAAAUCUGUCCAGAGUAGUAACAUUCAUGGUAAUCGACUGUCUUUGCAUUAGUAAGCACUGACAUGGGGUCAGCUUCUUUGGCCAUGUGGUCCAUGCCUGCGCCUUACUGAACAACUUGCAGAUUCCAAAACAUCUUAUCCUAUCUCUACCACUCUCCCACAUCUGUUGUGCAGCCUGAGCUGGGCGCUCCCUUCCUUUCCCAUCCCAUGAGUCCCUGUGGGUCACUGAGAACACCUUUACAACAGUAUAAACAGCCAUUCAUGCCCCCAGUGUCUAGGAAGAUAACAGACAGUCUCACCACAGUCUAAUCAUGGACACUGAUAAUAUUUCUUGAUUUUUGCUAUCAAGUUGCUUUUCAAUCCAUUCAGAAUCUGCCCCAGUGGAGACCCAGGAGUCCCUUUCCUGCACUCUUCUCCACCCUCCCACCUUUGCUGGGCUUUUCUAUCACUCCCACCUCCCCCAGAGUCAGGGCUCCAUUGCUGAGUGCCCCAUCCUGGAGGAUUGGCCCCAAGAUCUCCUAGGACAGAAUAAUUGCCUGUGUUUAGGCAGAGAGGCCUAAAUCUUUCAGCUUUCUUAACCCCUCUCUUGUUAAUUAUUAUGCUGAGAAAGCCUUUGCCUCUUUAUUUCACCUUGCCAAGACACCCACACUACUUUGGUAGUGAAAAGAAAGGAGUGAGAGGGAAAGUUUGGACCUGUCACUUUGGUGACACGGAAAGUCCAGGUCACUUUAUUCUGUAACUCUCCAUUCACUGGUCAAAUAACUCCAUGAGGCUCUCAGUGGCUACAGUAGAAGGACCUGAUAUUGUCCAUCUUUGUGUGCACAGAGCCUAGCACAGGGCCUCGCAGAGGGGAUACCUAGUGAAUGUAGACUAUGUGGAAAGACUUAACUAAGUUACACAAGCAUAUCUGACAGGAACGUUACUUUCAAUUUGUACACUAUAAUCUCUGAUUUUUCACUACGUUUUGGAUAAUUCUAUUGUAAUGAUGUUAGAUAAUAUAAUACUCAAUAUGAUUCAAUAUGACAAACUUUUUUGAGCACCUGCUUUAUAUAAAACAUGACAAAAUUGCUGUGUGAUGUAAUCAAAAACAAAGAAGCCCGAUAAGACCCUUUCUCUAGAACAGAUGUUCUUAAUAUUUUUCUUACUCAAAAAUAUGUGGUAGAUAGUAUGCAAGAAAAGCUGGGUGCAGUGGCUCAGGCCUGUAAUCCCAGCACUUUGGGAGGCCAAGAUGGGCAGAUGGGAGUUCGAGACCAGCCUGACCAACACGGUGAAACCCCAUCUCUACUGAAAAAAAAAAAAAAAAUACAAAAAUUAGCCCAGCAUGGUGGCGUGUGCCUGUAAUCCCAGCUACUCAGGAGGCUGAGGCAGGAGAAUAGUUUGAACCCAGGAGGCGGAGGUUGUAGUCAGCUGAGAGCAUGCCACUGCAUUCCAGCCUGGGCAACAGGGCAAGACUCUGUCUCAAAAAAAAAAAAAAAAAAAAAAAAAACAGAUAGUAUGUAAGAAAAUACCUAAAUUUUGAGAGAAAUAACCUUGAAGAAAAUCUCUUCAGAGUUUUGAAAGGGAACACAUUAAUAGGCCUUUUAUGGAGAUAAAUAAUGAAAUGAGGCAUUUAAAGAUCUCAGAAAUUGUAAUUUUACAAGAAAAUGAAAUAAAUAUAGCCAAUUUUUCAAUAGCUGAACUUCACCCAAAAGGUAAUGUUUAUAAGAUAAGUAAGUAGAGCAGGAAAAAUGCGGAUACAUUUUAUUUUAUUGUUUAAAACAUAAUGCAUAGAAUAUAUAAAUUUUUCAUGUUACUAUUAAUAUAUGAGUGCUUUUGGAAGUUUCAGUUUUAUCAUUGAUUGUCUACUUUUGGUUUGAUAAUAUUACUGCUUUUCAAAUUGUUGAAUGGAAAUGUUCAUAACUCCCUGCUUGUCCAUGCACAAUGUAAUUCUAAACCUGGCUUGUUUCUCAUUUAAAUAUAUCUAUAAAUAAAUUUAAAAAGAAAACA